GACAGAAUUUCACCCUUGUUUCCCAGGCUGGAGUCCAAUGGCACGAUCUCGGCUCACUGUAACCUCCACCUCACAACCAGGCACUUUCUUUAGGGGAGUAUGUACAGCACCAACAGAUUUCUGCCAUCUGCCUUCAGCUACUGAGUUCUUAAGGAGAUGGAAUGUCAAGUCUUUAACCCUUGGAUGUCCUUGAUUGAGGGAGAAGCAGUGUGAAAAGGAGAAGCACCAGCCUCCAAGGUACCAAAUGGGUGGAAAUUAAAAACAACUGAAAAUGGCAUUGGAGAAUUCCCUAAGAAGAAAAAAAGACAAAGAUGUCUUGUUCCUACUGCCAAACUGCUAAUAGGCAUUCAAAAAAUGCUAAAAAAUGAAAGAAGGGUAGGGGUAUUCAUAUGCUUUGGCUCUGUGUCCCCACCCAAAUCCCACCUCCAAUUUUAAUCCCCAUCAUCCCCAUAUUUCAAGGGCUAGACUAGGCAGAGCUAAUUGGAUCAUGAGGGCAGUUUCCCCCAUGCUGUUUUCAUAAUAGUGAGUUCUCACAAGAUCUGGUGGUUUUAUAGGCAUCUGGCAUUUCCCCUGCUUGUACUCACUCUGUCCUGCCACCCUGUAAAGAAGGUGCCUGCUUCUUCUUUGCCUUCCGCUAUGAUUGUAAGUUUCCUGAGGUGUCCCCAACUAUGUGGAAGUGUGAGUCAAUUAAACCUCUUUCCUUUA
RNAcentral lists this long non-coding RNA (705 nucleotides) under Homo sapiens (human). RNAcentral describes it as "HSALNT0150486". Lineage: Eukaryota; Metazoa; Chordata; Mammalia; Primates; Hominidae. The record is from RNAcentral.